GCCUCUGAUUCCGUAGUUAUAACACUGACUUGUAAUCAGUAGGUCCCGAGUUCGACUCUUGGUGCCGGCACCA
Molecule: transfer RNA, 73 nt
Filed under: Halopseudomonas xinjiangensis
Lineage: Bacteria; Pseudomonadati; Pseudomonadota; Gammaproteobacteria; Pseudomonadales; Pseudomonadaceae
Description: tRNA-Thr
Source: RNAcentral